CAGUCGCCACGGGAAUACGUAGGGUGCGAGCGUUAAUCGGAAUUACUGGGCGUAAAGCGUGCGCAGGCGGUUAUAUAAGACAGAUGUGAAAUCCCCGGGCUCAACCUGGGACCUGCAUUUGUGACUGUAUAGCUAGAGUACGGUAGAGGGGGAUGGAAUUCCGCGUGUAGCAGUGAAAUGCGUAGAUAUGCGGAGGAACACCGAUGGCGAAGGCAAUCCCCUGGACCUGUACUGACGCUCAUGCACGAAAGCGUGGGGAGCAAACAGGAUUAGAUACCCGCGUAGUCCCUGUCUCUUAUAC
RNAcentral lists this ribosomal RNA (301 nucleotides) under uncultured bacterium. RNAcentral describes it as "partial 16S ribosomal RNA". It matches the Rfam family "Bacterial small subunit ribosomal RNA", at positions 509 to 807 of the family's 1533-position model. The record is from RNAcentral.